This 483-nucleotide ribosomal RNA is filed under the name uncultured bacterium. RNAcentral describes it as "partial 16S ribosomal RNA". It matches the Rfam family "Bacterial small subunit ribosomal RNA", at positions 30 to 507 of the family's 1533-position model. The record is from RNAcentral.
UUGAACGCUAGCGGGAUGCUUUACACAUGCAAGUCGAACGGCAGCGCGGACUUCGGUCUGGCGGCGAGUGGCGAACGGGUGAGUAAUGUAUCGGAACGUGCCCAGUAGCGGGGGAUAACUACGCGAAAGCGUAGCUAAUACCGCAUACGCCCUACGGGGGAAAGCAGGGGAUCGUAAGACCUUGCACUAUUGGAGCGGCCGAUAUCGGAUUAGCUAGUUGGUGAGGUAACGGCUCACCAAGGCGACGAUCCGUAGCUGGUUUGAGAGGACGACCAGCCACACUGGGACUGAGACACGGCCCAGACUCCUACGGGAGGCAGCAGUGGGGAAUUUUGGACAAUGGGGGCAACCCUGAUCCAGCCAUCCCGCGUGUGCGAUGAAGGCCUUCGGGUUGUAAAGCACUUUUGGCAGGAAAGAAACGUCGCGGGCUAAUACCCCGUGGAACUGACGGUACCUGCAGAAUAAGCACCGGCUAACUACGUG